This 1920-nucleotide long non-coding RNA is filed under the name Piliocolobus tephrosceles (Ugandan red Colobus). RNAcentral describes it as "lncRNA (ENSPTEG00000000424.1)". Lineage: Eukaryota; Metazoa; Chordata; Mammalia; Primates; Cercopithecidae. The record is from RNAcentral.
AUGGAGCACUACAUAAGGGAAACUAAAAAACUAACUUUAAAAAAUAAUAAGGGGAAGAAAUUAUUUAGGUAUUUAGACAUUUCAUUGAAUAACAAAUCACUGUACGAUCAGCAUAUAUUUGAUUUAGUAAAAAUUUUAAAAAAUAAUAUAAAAAUAGCUUACAACAAUUAUUAUUGUUUAAAUAUUGAUUUGAGUGAAAAUUAUAUUACAUGUGUUGGUUUAAAAACUUUAUUAAAAUAUAUAUUAAAUUAUAAUGAAAAUAUAGGUGUAAAUAUAUUAAAAUUAUAUAAGAAUAAUAUAAAAGAUGAUGGUGUCUUUUUAAUAAAACAAUUGGUUUAUAUUCAAAAAAUACCUAUGGAAGAAUUACAUUUAUCUCAUAACUUUAUUCAAGAUAAUACGUGUAAAGAAUUAUUACUUAGUUUUGUACAAGCUAAAAAAGAUAGUAACUAUGUAUAUCCUAGACUUGAUAAAUAUCAGAGUGUAUACAAACAAGCUCAACAUAUACCAGUAUGGAUACGACUAGAAUAUAAUUGUAUUCAAAACCCUAAAGACAUAUUAAAAGAAGUGGAAGAAUGUGCUAAAAAAAAGAGAGGUUAUAAAAGUAAUCCCAUUAUAUGUUCAGCUUUAAAAAAUGAAAAAAGAUGUGGUCCAUAUAAAUGUUUAAACUCUACUAUUCGUAAUACUCCUAUUAUGCAUGUAUAUAUGUUUAUACAUCAGAAGGAAAAUAUGGUUUUACCAAACGAUAAAAUGUUAAAAGAUAAUAAUAAAAAGGAGUUACCAUUGGUAAAUCCUACUUAUAUAAAUAAUAAUGUAGUUAACAAAACAUGUGAUUUACUUAGUAAUAAUAAUAUACUUACAAAAACAAUGGAUGAAAUUACAGAAGAGGAACAACGAUUUAUAAAAAAUAAACAUAUUGUAGAUAGUAGUCUGGAAAUUGAAAGCAGUUUUAAUAGUGAUAGUUACAAUAAUGGGAGUGACAACAGUAAUGAUAGUAGUAUGGAAUACAGCUCCUCUGAUGAUUCUUCUGUUUUUCCAAUUACUCCUAACAAAAAAAAGAAAAAAAAAGUAAAUGAUAAAAACAAAAUACCAAACACAGCUUCUUGUUAUGUUAAUAAUAAUGAUAUAAAUACGAAAAUAAAAAAUAAAAAAAAAAAAAAAAAAAAAAAAAAAAGUGAAAGUAGUAACAGUAAUAUUAGUAUUAGUGGUAGUAUUGUUAGUGAUAGUAAUAGUGAAAGUUGUAUUCAUAGUAGUAUUAGUAUGGAGAAGAGUAGUACCAGUAGAAGCAGCAGUAACAGUAGAAAUAACAGUCGUUAUAGUAAAACAGUCAAUAUCAAUAAAUAUAAUAAAAAAGUUAUUAAACAUACCAUUUUGAAUGAUGAUAAAUUGAAAAAGGAAAAAAUGAUAAAUUCUGAACAUAACACUAGUGACUGUAUCAGAAACAAAAUGGAUGAUAAUGAUUUUACUGAUAAUAUUAUAAAUAAUAAAUUAAAAAGUGAUAACGAUACAAAAAAACAAAAUAAAAAAAUAUUACUUAAUAGAAAUCAGUUAAACCAAAGAAAUAUUUUAAACAGCAAUUUCAUAAGUAGUAGUAAUACCAAAAAUAGUAACGAUUUGACCGAUACACUUAACAAUAAUAAUAAUAUUCAAUCUUAUUUAAAUCAAAGUAAAAAAGAAAAAAAGAAUAGUGUUAAUGUUAGUUGUAGUCCUAAUCGUAGUACAACUUCUAACCACACUCAUAUACCUGAUGAUAAUAGUAGUAGUAAGAAUACACCUACUAUUUUUAGUAAUAAUUCUAACGUCAAUAUUAAUACAGAUGAAAAAAAAAAGGAAGUAAAACAUAUGAACGAUAAUAAUAAUACAGUUACAAAUCAGUUACCUCUUUAUAUAUUACUUGAUUGUAGUUCGGUAUUAGGAAUGAAA